UCUUUUUUUUAAAAAAAAGUUUUGGUUUGGUUAUUUUUUUUUUUUAAAAACCAAACCGAACCGAAAAUGAUCACCUCUACCGGAGGGUCUGAUGACGGUAUGACAGGGAGUAUCAAAGGCAAGUAAAUAAUGCAGCACGUGGAAGGGAAUUUGAGUCCAGGUUUUAUUUCAACUUCGAUAGGUGUCAAUUCUCAUACUUCGGCCUUUGUUUUGAAAGACACUCCUCCUGACCUAGGUAUUGAGCUUUCUUUUGUUACCCGAACUUCAGAAGGAACUAUGCCAAGGGUUGAGGGCAUGGCUAUGUCCAUUAAUUGUUAAGGUGAUCAGGGGUUUAAUGAGGGGAUGACUAUUCAGAUGGAUGGUGGGCAGUAACUAUUCUGCUAUACUUUUGCUACUUAUUAUCUAUCUUUUUAUUAUGAAUAUGUUUACAGAUUUUUCUAUAAUCUCAUGGAAUGUUCGUGGUGGUGCUAAUAAGAUAAGAAAAUGCCACUGCAAAGAAUUGGUAAGGUAUAGUCCUCCUUUGUUUGUCUUGUUGGAAACGCAUGCCAAUUUUUUGAAGGUUAAGAAUUUUUGGUACAGUAGUAGUUAUACUCCAGUGGCUGUUUCUGAAGCCCAAGGACAUGUCAGUGGCAUAUGGAUUAUAUCUUUUGUUAGCUUGGUCUCCUUUUCAACCUUGGAUAUCACUAGGCAAUGUGUUACCGUUCAGAUUUUUAUGGGAAGCAACUCCUAGUUCUUAUCGGCAGUCUAUGCCUCGCCCAUUCCUAGAGUUCGACUUCAAUGAAAUAUCUUCUCGUUCAGAAACUUGAGGAGAUCUCUUCUCCUGUGCUAGGGCUUCACGUUUCUUGCAGAUGAUGUCAGAUUGUGAGGUUUCAAAUUUGGGCCACCAGGACCCUAAUUUUACUUGGCACAAACAUAUUCAUGGGGUUCGUUACUUAGCAAAACGGCUUGACAAAGCACUGGCUUCUUUGGAUUGGCAAACUAGUUUUCCUAAAGCUUAUGUUGAAACUUUAUGCAGAAUUCACUCUGAUCACAACCCGAUUAUUCUACCGUGGGAGAUCGCUAGACUGACUUGUGAAAGAUCUUUUAGGUUUGAGGCAGCCUGGACUACCCAUUCAGAUUAUCAGGAUAUUGUUUGUAGUGCUUAGGAUAGAGGUUGCCAUAAUGUCCUGAAGGGGCUUCAGGAGGUUUGGUAGGAUUCUAUUUCUUUCAAUCAACACACUUUCGGGAAUAUUUUCCACAGAAAAAGAUAGCUUGAAGCUCGGAUUAAUGGUGUCUAGAGGUGUCUUGAGCAUUAUACUGAUGAUUCACUUCUUUCUUUAGAAAAAUCUUUACGUCAUGGUUAUAAAGUUUUAGGUUCCAAAAAUCUAGAGAACAGUGGGUUACUCAUGGUGAUAGGAUAUAUAAAGUUCUUUCAAGCUCAGACAACUAUGCGGAGAAGACGGAACAAGAUUAACGGGCUUUUUCUCUCUGAUGGGACUUGGUGCACUGAUGAUUCUAAACUGCAGGAAGAGGCCAUCUAGUUUUAUAAGAAUUUGUUCUGCCCUAAGGUAACUGUUACUGCUCACUUUAUGGAGUCUGUUCCUUUGCCUAUAUUAUCUUCACAAGGAAUCUCUAAUUUAGAGAAACCAGUUUCUAAAAAGGAUGUUUAUGCAGCUCUAAUGAGUAUGAGAUCUUUUAAAUCUUCGGGGAAGGAUGGCUUCCAAACUGUUUUCUUAAAAAAAAUACUAGAAUGUGGUUGGGGAUGACAUCUGGCAUCUGGUUCAAGCUGCUUUUAUUAAUGGAUGUUUUGAUAAAGAUCUGACUAAUACUUUUAUUGUGUUAAUUCUCGAGGAGAGACCCACAAGUUUGAAGUAGUUUCGCCCUAUUAGUCUUUGUAAUGUAGUUUAUAAACUCAUUACUAAGGUGCUAGUGAACAGGCUGCGACCUUAUUUAGAUGAUUUAAUUGGCCCCCUCCAGAGCAGCUUUAUUUCUAGUCGGAGUACUACUGAUAAUGCCUUUGUUGCUCAAGAAGUAAUGCAUCAUAUGCAUCACUCCAAAAGCAAGCGGGGUACUCUGGCGGCAAAGAUUAAUUAUGGGAAAGUCUAUGAUAGGGUGAUACGGGACUUCUUGUAGUCCAUUCUAGAGGAUUUCGGUUUAACUCCUGGUAUAGCAUCUCUAAUUAUGUUCUGUAUGAGGUCUUCCUCCCUCACUCUCUCAUGGAACGAGUCUAAGCUUCACUCAUUUACUCCUACUUGUGGCCUUAGGCAAGGAGACCAAUUUCUCCUUACUUGUUUGUUUUUUGUAUGGAGAAAUUGGUGUGUUUAACUACGAAGAAAGUUUCAGAGAAGAUUUGGCAUCCUAUCCACCUUUUGAGAGGGGGGCCAGGAAGGUGGCUGGAAUACACAGAAAUAAUACGGCUCAGGUGCCCAAGAUAGCAAAUAUGAGCAAAGAUUGUCAUAAUUGGAAGCCAGUGAAAGAGGAGUUCACAUUUCCUGCAAACUCUGCUCCCUUCAAUAGCUGCAAUGCCUCUACCAUUGUUGCAAUUGUCUAAUUGGGUUAAAUAAUUCUCUUCGAAUUCUUACAGUUUGCCUUCAUCAUCAGCAGUUUAAUGUUUUGCUGAUCUGUGCUUUGUGCAGGUUGAUAAAGAUCACCUUUUGGUUGCUUAUUUUGAAGGUCCAAAAGAGGGAGCACCUGAUGUUCAAAUUUGGAUACAGACAUACAAAGGCUUUCCAAUCCUGCUGCAUAUCUGCUGAUGGGAUUUCUCCCAAAAGGCCCAAUUGUAGUACUCCAAGGUGGCCAAAAAAUUAUCAAACAGUUGCUUCCGCAGAGAAAGAUACUUGAAAAUUCUUGAACUCAACUCCAUUCAAAUGCACCAUAUGAGAAGGAACACAGUCUCGAGAUCUUACGAUCUUCCUUCUGCAAAACCAUUCCAAUUCAUCAAUAACAAGUUCUCUAUCUUUUUUGUUUCUGUUCCCCUACCUAUCACAAGGAUCUUGUCCCACAUAUGUCCCAAGCCAGUGAGCAAUAUUAAAACAUUGUUUCAACACAUGAGACUCUUCCUUCCAGUAGCAGUAAACUGCACUUCCUCGGUAGUUUAAGUGACAUCAAUUAACUCACUGUUGGAUUCAAAAGAUUCGUGUAAAAAAAGCAGUUUUAGGAAGAUCCUGGACCAAUCCAUUGAUGCCUUCACUUCUUUUAAGCCCUCUUGACUUAGUUGCCUUUCUUUAACUGCUGUGAGUAAUUGAUUCAUUGUCAAAGUUCCUCUUCAUGCUCCUCUUUGGAUUUUAAGAUUGUUUAUCUCAUAUGGGUGGGUAUCUGCUGUGCAUGAUGGUUACUGGCAAUCGCCUAUCAUUGUUGAUGAACAGCCUGAUGUUCCUAUGUGGAACCCUUUACUGUUCAAACUGUCACCAGAGGAGCUACUUUUGUCAUAUAAAUUCGGUCAAGACAAAAGUAAAACUUCCAAUCUCCAUGGUCUUCCAUUUAACUAUUCCUUUUUGUAGUCAAGUUUUCCCAAAUAGUAUGUAUAUGAGUUUGUUGGUUGUUGGUAAAUUCAAAUGUUUUCAUCUAAUUUCAAGAACACAAAAGGCUAUUCUGUUUUGUAUAUCGCGUGGAAUACAGAAUGCCAUACAUUUUUCAAGUCUGUCAUUAUACCAUAUAUUCUGCAUAAGAAAAUUAUGCCACAUCGAAUUGAAUUCUUAAUCCCACGGGGGGAAUUGAAAAGAAAAGUAACUUUUGAUGCAA
Long non-coding RNA from Populus trichocarpa (black cottonwood), 3720 nucleotides. RefSeq lists it as uncharacterized. The record is from RefSeq and is a predicted model, not a curated record. NCBI's taxonomy places the organism in Eukaryota, Viridiplantae, Streptophyta, Magnoliopsida, Malpighiales, Salicaceae. The transcript is spliced from 3 exons.